This 272-nucleotide long non-coding RNA is filed under the name Physcomitrium patens. Its description in RNAcentral is "long non-coding RNA (PPAT_LNC000575)". Lineage: Eukaryota; Viridiplantae; Streptophyta; Bryopsida; Funariales; Funariaceae. The record is from RNAcentral.
GGGUAAGCUUGGUACUACCUCUUUACCAAUUUGUUUCUUUGUUUCUUUGUUUUUUUGUUAUUGAAGAGUAAUGGAUAGUUUCCAAAUAUUAAGAAGUGAGUCUGUGGAAUAAAUCAGAGAUUGAUUUAUGAGUUAUUAAUUAUGUAAUUGGAGUACUGAGUGAUUGAAUUAUAUGAAAAGUUAUUGGAAGAUUAUGAUUGUUGUUUAUUGAGAGCUGUGUGUGUUUGGACAGAGGAAGUCUGUGAUUACAAAAAUUAUGUAAAUUCAGAUUG